Molecule: long non-coding RNA, 2603 nt
Organism: Ictalurus punctatus (channel catfish)
Lineage: Eukaryota; Metazoa; Chordata; Actinopteri; Siluriformes; Ictaluridae
Source: Ensembl
GUGUUGCUGCCGUUUGAUUGUCUGAUUGGAUAAUUGCACGAAUGUGCAGGGGUAUAUAUAUAUAUUAUUGUAAUAAUUUGAGAUACUGGAUUUUUGAUUUCCAUGAGCUGUAAGCCAUAAUCAUCAAAAUUAAAACAAAAAAAGGCUUGAAAUAUUUCAGUCUAUGUGGAUUGAAUGAAUGAAUGUAAAAUAUAUGAAAGUUUCACUUUUUGAAUUAAAUUACGGGGAAAAAAUUACUUUACCUUGAUAUUCUAAUUUUUUUUAGAUACACCUGUAUAGAUCAGAUAAUGCAGCGAUUGUGAUUGGACAAAACUGUUAAAUAAUCUUUCUAUUGGGUUUUGGCAUUUUACUACUACAGACUAAGAGGAGACAUGCUAUCAAUUCAAUUUAUAAUUUACCAUUUUACAAUGUGCCUCUAGUAUCUAUCUUUAUUCUUCUUCUGAUGUUCUGCCUGUACUGCCUCUUAUCUUGCACUUUAUGUAGGCACUGUGCAGAGCUUCUGUAUUGUCUCAGUUAUUAUAUGAUAUGAUAUGAUAUGAUAUUACAUGACAGUAAAAAAUAUAUAUAUUUGACGAUUUCUUUUUUUAGCACUCAUAAAACCUGAAUACAAUGUAUAAUAUUGUGAAUAUUUACAGUACCGAUACAAAAUGUCAACCACCUUGCUUAAAAUACAUUAUACAUAUAUCUAGUGGUAUGUAUUUAUAUAAAUAUUAAAAUAAAUAUCCCUAUAACUCUUUUUAAAAUAAAUCAAGUGUGAAAGUACAACCCCAAUUCCGAAAAAGUUGGGACAGUAUGUAAAAUGCUGAUAAAAAAUGAAGAGGAGUGAUUUGCAAAUGUACUUUGACUUGUAUUUAAACAAAAACAUAUAUAUAUAAAGACAAGGUAUUUCAUGUUUUAACUAAUCAACUGCAUAGUUGUUGUUUUUUUCUUUGAAGAUAAGCGUUUGUUUUGAAAUUGAUGCGUGCAACACAUUCCCAAAAAGUUGGAAUAGGUGCAAUUUAAGACUAAUUUGGAUGUGACAAGUUGAAAUAACGUGAUAUGAAACAGGUGAGGCAAUCGUUUAAUCAUAGUAUAUAAGCAGCCGCCAAAAAGGGCCUAGUCCUUCAAGAGUAAGGAUGGGUUGAGGCUCACCAAUUUGCUAAUAGGUGUAGCAGCAAAUAAUCCAACACUUUAAGAACAACAUUCCCCAAAGACAAAUCGAUAGGAUUUUGGGCAUUUCACCUUCUACAUUGCACAAUAUAAUUAAAAGAUUCAAGGAAUUCAAUCAAAUCUCGGUGCGUAAGGCCAAGGAGGAAAAGGACCAUUCAAGCUGUUAUCAGUGUCAAGUCCAAAAUCCAGUGUCUGUCAUGGUAUGGAGGUCUGUCAGUGCCCAUGGCAUGAGUAACUUGUAUCUGUAAGGGCACCAUUAAUGCAGAAAGAUAUGUGUAACGGGUAUGGAAAACAUUCCAUAAAUUUAAUGUGUAGAAUUACACAAAAAGCAUGUGUACCUGAAUUGGCUGUUUGAGUAUUUUUCCUUUUAACUGCCAUGAUGUCAUUGGUUUGUGUAAUUUCCUGUUUUGGCUCCUCCACUUCCCUUUUGCGUUAUGGUUGAAUGGGAGAGGUAGGUUUGGUUUUCAGUUCGUGGUAAUUUUGUUUAAUCUUUAUUUAAAUCAUAAUUUUGUACAAUUGUAUACCCAUUUUAGUUUGUGUGUAUAGUGUUAUUUUAUUUCUGUGUGAUUAUUUUUGUUGUUUUACCCUUCUUUUGAGUUUUUUUUGUUUGUUUCAACAUGUGCCCUUUCGCAUGAUGGUUGAAUGGGAGAGAAUAAACAAAGAGUCGACCCAGUUGCUGUCCGACUACAUUUUUUCUGGAUUAAAUAAAACACACAACGCAGACUACAACCAGUUACACUUGUUGCCGUGACGCAGAAAGGGAAGAGGGGGAGCCAAAACAGGAAAUUACACAAACCAAUGACCUCAAGACAACCAAAAGGGAAAGCACUCACACAAACAGUCACACCAGGUACACAUCUCCUUUUUGUGUAAUUCUACACGUUAAAUUUCUGGAAUGUUUUCCAUACCCGUUACAUAUGUACACAUUUUUGAGCAACAUAUGCUGCCAUUCAGAGAAGGACAACGGCAAACCACAUUCUGCCCGGAUUACAAGCACAUGGUUGUGUAAGCAGAGAGUGCGGGUGCUAGCAUGGCCUGCCUAGAGUCCUGACCUGUCUCCGAUUGAGAAUGUGGGGUGCAUUAUGAAGCACAAAAUAAGGCAAUGUAGGCCCUGUACAGUUGCACAGCUGAAGAAAUGCAUAAUGGAUGAAUGGGGGAAAUUCCAUUUGCUAAACUUAACCAACUGGUGUCUUCAGUGCCUAAAAGAUCAAUAAGUGUUAAAAGACAAGGUGAUGUUACAGUGUUAAACAGUCAACUGUCCCAACUUCUUUGGUGUGUUGCAGUCAGCAAAUUUGAAAUGAGUGUAUAUUUUCAAAUAUAAAUUAAAUUCACAAAAUAAAAUAUCAAAUAAUGUGUCUUCAAUACAGUAUCGGGUGCAGUGAAUUUUCAAAAAACUCUAUUGGGUUUCUUUUUUUUGCAUUUUCCAUACUGUCCCAACUUUUUUGGAAUUGGGG